UAUGGCACUUAUUACGAUAUACUUUCGUCUGUUGACGUCUGAGUACUAAGUAAUAUUAUCUACUAAAAGAACCAAUGUUUAGUAUGGUAUGUAAAAAUACAUUUGUAUUUAUCUUAUCAAUUUAAUACAUUUUCGUUUAUCGUGUCGGUAAAACGGAGCGAGCCCAAUAACAUUGUAUAAAAUUACAUAAUAACUAACAAGGAAAUUUACAAUAUUUAAGGUUAAACAGAUAAUAAUUUUACGCUUGGAACUAAGGAAUAGUGGGUCCUCGUUGGCCAGUUUCGUUAUACAAAAAUAUCAGUUAAAUCAAAGACAAAUCGAUCAGUUAAAUAAUUACAUUGGCUAAAAUAUAUACUUAAUAGUUUACAUACUUUAAGUAUAAUAGUACUUUGUAUACUUAUUAGUAAUAAGUACAUAAAAUAAAUUGCCGCAGUUUUCAUAAUGUAUCUUAUCGGUUUAGCUUAUGUAUAAUGUUAAAUUUGUUUUUGCCGCAGUUUACUAUCUCACCGCAAAAUAUGUUCACUUGCAAAAUCGACACACUGUUUAUAACAGCUAUCAUUAUUAUUAUUUAUACUCGUAAUACGUUUUUCUUGCGAUUUAUAAUAGUACCUCAAUGCGGCUAUUGACAACGGACCGCGUCAUAUUUAGGAAUUUUGCGCUCUAGGCAAAUAUCUAAACCAUAGACACCUACCUACAUGAGAAAUGUCCGCCUCCGAUUCAUAACUGGAAACGUUAACCAUAACCGUUAUAUUAUUAUAUUAAACCGUUUUUACUUAUAUAUGUAUAUGUAUUUUUCCUGAGUACCUACCUAGGUAUACAUAACGAUCAGUUUUGGCGUAAAUGGUUUUGGAAAUGAGAUACAAUAAUACGACAUAACUGUGUAUGGUAUGAAACAUUAUUUAUUUAUUUCACACCCUCUGAGUAUUAUAAUAUAGAAAAUUCAGUUUCGCGAUUUUCUCCGCCCAAAUGGUCAGUUUUAAAGAUAUAAUCUUAAUACUUGGCAACUAAACUGUUCACCGUAUGUUAUCUGAAGCUUGUUAUCGAAAGGUACUCGGUUAACUCUUAAAUCAGACUCCGGAAAGUACUGUGGUUAUUUUUGUGAGCACUACGAGACUGCGACACACUUUGUACACUACGAAAUCUCAAAUGUGAACUACAAAAAAUUGAAAUGUGCCCCUGACACCUGCGUUUUUAUUAUCAACGAGCCACAAGGUUCCGUAGAUCCAUAGGUGUGAGGAAAACAUUUUUUUUUUUUUUUUUGUAUGUACUUGUAAUAUAUUUACAGUGUAAUCAAUCCCUUUAUAUGACACUCAUUAUCGCAGAAAAUAUUUAUUUUUUUGAAUUUUUUUUUUAACAAUUUAUAAAAUAAAUAGCUCUAAAAUAAAACAUUACCGUUAUUUUUUUUGGUUUUCUUAUUUUUGGGGAUGAAAACACAACCCAGUGGCGUAUCUUUGGGAGGGGGCGAUGGGUGGAUCACUACCCCUUGGUUUUUUUUUUUGCGGUGAUAUAUUAAUCACGGCUAUACCUUUCCACCAACGUACAGUGUAUUAAACUUAAAUGCAAGCAUGUGCACUACGGAAAGUCUGACAAAAAUAGCCACUGGAAAAUCGAGGUUACGGCUGUUUAACAAUAUAUUAUAUUUGAAACAUAAAAUUUACGAAUUUGGUUUUAUUGCAGCUUUGCGGUUCAAACCGAAAUAUUUUAUCCGUCACAAAACGAAAUCAUUAAGAUAUUGGCCAAUAAAACAAAAGACGAGCAAAUUCAUCACUGCCACAAAACGAAAUAUAGCAGUUUAUUAUUCGUUCACAC
Non-coding RNA from Cinara cedri, 1809 nucleotides. The record is from the annotation of a GenBank genome assembly. NCBI's taxonomy places the organism in Eukaryota, Metazoa, Arthropoda, Insecta, Hemiptera, Aphididae.